Molecule: ribosomal RNA, 253 nt
Filed under: uncultured bacterium
Lineage: Bacteria
Description: partial 16S ribosomal RNA
Rfam family: Bacterial small subunit ribosomal RNA
Source: RNAcentral
GACGUAGGGCGCGAGCGUUGUCCGGAUUUAUUGGGCGUAAAGAGCUCGUAGGCGGCUUGUUGCGUCGGCUGUGAAAACCCAUGGCUCAACCGUGGGCUUGCAGCCGAUACGGGCAGGCUAGAGUUCGGUAGGGGAGACUGAAAUUCCUGGUGUAGCGGUGAAAUGCGCAGAUAUCAGGAGGAACACCGGUGGCGAAGGCGGGUCUCUGGAACGGUACUGACGCUGAGGCGCGAAAGCGUGGGGAGCGAACAGG